This 82-nucleotide non-coding RNA is filed under the name Geobacteraceae bacterium. The record is from RNAcentral. Lineage: Bacteria; Pseudomonadati; Thermodesulfobacteriota; Desulfuromonadia; Geobacterales; Geobacteraceae.
AUGCGAAACAGUCAACUUGCGCAAUUUCGCAAGUUGGCUGUCGUCCCGGCGUGGCUGCCGGGGCCUGAUGAUGCAGCCAACG